UCCGUCUAUGAUUCAGCAAUCCCAAAGUGUCUUUUUUUUGUUUUUGUAAAUAAGCUUCCGGUGUGAAAACAAAGUUUGUGACGCUGGGAUGUGCCCGAAUAGGGAAGAUAUCAUUUUAAAUACCCCUUUCUUAUCCCAUACUACUCUUUCAAUAUAUAAUCUAAUUUUUUUAAUCUAAAAAAUUUCAUAUCGAAUUCGAAGUGCCAUGCUAUUAUUACUUAACUAAUUCAUAUUUCCGAGGG
RNAcentral lists this long non-coding RNA (242 nucleotides) under Brassica napus (rape). RNAcentral's name for it is "long non-coding RNA (BNAP_LNC012146)". The record is from RNAcentral. Lineage: Eukaryota; Viridiplantae; Streptophyta; Magnoliopsida; Brassicales; Brassicaceae.